This 388-nucleotide ribosomal RNA is filed under the name Dolichomastigaceae sp. RNAcentral's name for it is "partial small subunit ribosomal RNA". It matches the Rfam family "Eukaryotic small subunit ribosomal RNA", at positions 582 to 975 of the family's 1831-position model. Lineage: Eukaryota; Viridiplantae; Chlorophyta; Mamiellophyceae; Dolichomastigales; Dolichomastigaceae. The record is from RNAcentral.
AUUCCGCUCCAAUAGCGUAUAUUUAAGUUGUUGCAGUUAAAAAGCUCGUAGUUGGAUUUUGGGUGCGGCAGGCCGGUCCGCCGUUUCGGUGUGCACUGGCAGGCGGCAUCUUUCUGUCGAGGACGCGCUCCUGGUCUUUAUUUGAUCGGGACGCGGAGUCGGCGCAGUUACUUUGAAAAAAUUAGAGUGUUCAAAGCGGGCCUACGCUUGAAUAUAUUAGCAUGGAAUAACACCAUAGGACUCCUGUCCUAUUCUGUUGGUCUCCGGGAUGGGAGUAAUGAUUAAGAGGAACAGUUGGGGGCAUUCGUAUUUCAUUGUCAGAGGUGAAAUUCUUGGAUUUAUGAAAGACGAACUUCUGCGAAAGCAUUUGCCAAGGAUGUUUUCAUCG